CCGCCCCACUCGGGAGCUCCUCGCUCCAAGGAUUUACUCCGGAGUGACUAAGUGCACGUAGUUCACAAAGUAACACCAGAAAACGUCCACGUUUUCCCUGGUCCAUCAGAACAUCGGCCGCCUGCCCUCAGCUGUCUGCAGCCUGCCCUGCCCCUAGGUGUUGAGAGAUGCGUUUUCAAAUGACACGUUGAGAUCCAGGAGUGAAUACUCAAAUCUAGUGACUCGGGAGCACAUCUCUUUCCCGAAUAAAAUAGUAACGAUACGUCCUGACUAGAUAAUAAACUAUGUGAUCAACGUACUUCCAGCUCUCAAAGAUAUGGUUCUGUACGGCCCUCUGCUCCAAUCUUCCAGCAAUUCAUUCAAUGAAUUCCUUUACCUAAUAGGAAUAUUGCAGAGGCCAGGGUUUGUGCCACGGUCUCCAGGGAAUAAAGCAGGAUCUCUGAUUAUGUUCAGAACUGCAAUGCAUGUAGUUAAAAAGACCCACCGCCUGGAGUUUCUUUGUGGUGAUAUAAUUGCUCUGUAUCUUGACUGUGGCCAUGGUUAUAGAAAUCUAUACAGGUAAUAAAAU
RNAcentral lists this long non-coding RNA (568 nucleotides) under Saimiri boliviensis boliviensis (Bolivian squirrel monkey). RNAcentral describes it as "lncRNA (ENSSBOG00000036524.1)". Lineage: Eukaryota; Metazoa; Chordata; Mammalia; Primates; Cebidae. The record is from RNAcentral.